UUUUUUUUUUUUUUUUAAAUUCUAUAGAAAGAAGCUGUUAUCUUCUUUGGUUUCUCCUGUCACUGAAUAGGAUUAUCUUUUUUUUUUUUUUAAUGUUUUUCUUCACUCUACCAACAGAUAGAUGUAAAAGAAGCAGCAGCGUCUCCUUUAAAGCUGCUUGCUGGAACCAACAUCAGAGAUCCCCACUCUGGGAUGUGAUGUAGAACAAAGAUCCCCUGUGGUGAUGUUUGUGCAACAUCCUGCCCUUUCUGCUAUCAUUGUACACAGUUAUGUGGGUUUUUUGUUUUGGUUUGCUUUUGUAUUUUUAACCUAUAUUAUCAUUCCUAACUGAGGUAUGCAUUGUGUGCUCACUGAGCAGGCGAUGCAGUAGCUAUGGGGGAUUUGGAGUCCAGGAUUUCAUCCAGGUAGUCUAUUAUUUUUGCUCUUGUGCAAGGAUGGAAAAUGUAAGCUGGUACUCCCUGAUGAAAAAAAGGCUUUUCUUACUUUUCUCCCAUCCCAAGGAAAAGAUGAAGGAGAAAGCCUAAGUUUUUCUGUUUGUUUGUUUUCUUGGCUGAGUUGCUCAGCUUUUCAGAGGUGUAGGUCACUAUUCUGCUUUAACUGUGACUUUAUCUUGUGAAACAUGUUUCAGCCCAAGCAGCAGUUAUCUCUUUGCAAUGGCUGCAAAUAAUUAAAUGAGAAACACAGUAUCCUUGAGUUACUUAGCACAGUCCAUGCUGUGUUACGCAGCUAUUAGUUUGAAAAAGAAAAGGCCCAUCCUGACCAAGAUUGCCCAUUUUGGCCCACACCUCUGCCCGUCAAAGGUGCUGAUCUGUAGAGUAGCUUGUGUUGUGUGUCCUGUCUGCAGUGAUGGUGUCUGCAGAGUGCUGAGCAGCUGGAAGGGCUGGCACUGUAUUGUGUCAUUUCCUUUGAGGACAGGGAACCAGUCAACAGAACUCAACUGCCUGCCUGUCUGCUGCCUGCUUUUUUUUCCCCCUCAUAUAUAUAUAUAUAUAUUUUCUUUUAUCCAACUAUAAUCUGUCAGGAGGGAAAUCAUCAGCACCAGCUUCUGUUGUCACAAGACGCAUUUAGGUGUGUGACUUCAGACAAACAAGCAAUAAUAAGGAAUAGUUUACUUUGGAUCACCAGGCUGCAAGGAAGCUGUCCCACAGCCUACAGCUGCACACAGCCUUAGCAGCAUAGGUGUGUGCCUCUGGCUGCUCUGCGUGGCUUUUGUUACCCUGCUUGUCAGCACUGACACCUCAUUGCGAAGCCUGUAGCCCUCUCUGACAGACUGCAAAAUCUGUGUAGUCAGGCAUGGGAUAUCUCUAAAAACCCAUCACAGUGACCUCGAGUGUUCUCUUACACCACUGGCUCUUAAAUGUUUCCCUACCCUCAGUGGCUUUUACAAAGCAGCAUGGUUAAAAUUUUAUUUUCUUAAAUGUCUACUCUGAGCACAGCCAGCUGACAUGCGCAGGGCACAUCUAUCAACUUUUCUAGCUCUUUGUUCUGAGAUGGAGAUGUCAGAUGGGAAGAGAAGUACCAAGGAAUAACAACUCAGGCCUUUCCUGCAUUCUUGGUCCACGUGGGGAAAAAAGGUGAUGUGCAGAUGAACUGGAGUAAAAGACUGUCUUAAAAUAGCAAAGUGCUUGCUAAAACCCAGCAUUUCCAAGGGUUUGGAUGCAGUUGGCACUCACUGUCUUAUCCCUUCGGUUGUGCAAAGCUGAAUCUAGGUUGCACCUAGCAAAUACUCCUAGGUUUUCUGCCCAUCUGAGGGUGCUUUUCUACUGGGGGCCAUUUUCUGACAGCUACUGAUGAACAUGAAUCUGAAUAUGCAGUCAGCAAACUCCUUGUUUUAUAGUGAUGUGACAACGUUUUUUCUUGUGAUUGGAUUUUAUCAUGGUUUUUGACUUUCUUAGAGGAGCAAUUGCUCUUUUAAAAGACUUUCUACACGUUGCUAGGUUCCCUAAAGAGAUCAAAGAUGUUUUUAAUUCACUUUAAAUCUUUCUAUGUUGAGUUCAUUUAAAUGUCUGUUAUAAGCUAUUUUUGUUGUGGUUGCAGGUUGAUAAAAUGCAACUUAGAGAAUGCAUGUGAAUUGCUGCCCCUCAAAAGCAGUGCAGACAAGGGGCUUUAGUAAACUUACACUUGCUGGAAAAGCAUCAAUGUAUUGUGUAACAGAACAUUGGUAUUUUUUGCCAGUGCAACUAAAGACACUUGAAU
Gallus gallus (chicken) is the source of this 2196-nucleotide long non-coding RNA. The record is from Ensembl. NCBI's taxonomy places the organism in Eukaryota, Metazoa, Chordata, Aves, Galliformes, Phasianidae.